CCUCAAUGUAAGAUCUACUUUAUUUAAAUUUUAAGACAAAACAGUCCAAUAACAGUUUGAGACUUGGAAAUCAAUGUGCAGAAACUACUGUAAUCUCUCGUUGGCCAGUGUUUUAAGUAUUUGAAGAUGGUUAUUCUAUUUUGUGUUUGGUUUAGUUGAUCCCCCUCUUUGUAUUUAUUGGAACUGGAGCUACUGGAGCAACACUGUAUCUCUUGCGUCUGGCAUUGUUCAAUCCAGAUGUUUGUUGGGACAGAAAUAACCCAGAGCCCUGGAACAAACUGGGUCCCA
Molecule: long non-coding RNA, 288 nt
Filed under: Homo sapiens (human)
Lineage: Eukaryota; Metazoa; Chordata; Mammalia; Primates; Hominidae
Description: non-protein coding lnc-THSD7A-3:4
Source: RNAcentral